UUCAUUUUGCCUUCCCGAUAUUGCAUAUGCAUGUAGCUGACAUUGGUAUAUCCAUCAUUUUGUUAUAGAUUUUCACCUUACUCAAUCGAUACCAUGUUUUCAUCUCUCUAACUUCAUAUUCCCAACCUUCUUCAUCUUUGUCUCGCAACUUCUUUUCCUCAUAAUAUGUUAGAUGUUUUUAUCAUCUUCAUAUGUUCAUGUCAUUUCUUCUUCAUUUACUUCAUCUUAUUUUUUC
RNAcentral lists this long non-coding RNA (235 nucleotides) under Lathyrus oleraceus (garden pea). RNAcentral describes it as "Pisum sativum (pea) long non-coding RNA (PSAT_LNC007051)". The record is from RNAcentral. Lineage: Eukaryota; Viridiplantae; Streptophyta; Magnoliopsida; Fabales; Fabaceae.